Molecule: small RNA, 623 nt
Filed under: Histoplasma ohiense
Lineage: Eukaryota; Fungi; Ascomycota; Eurotiomycetes; Onygenales; Ajellomycetaceae
Description: hypothetical lncRNA
Source: RNAcentral
CCUCCCUUAUAUAAACCCUUGACCUGUUUGUUAAUCAAUACAUUUCUUAGUCUCAAAAAAGAGAGUAUAUGAUAUUUCAGAUUUGACUUAAAUAAUAAUAAAUUUUCAUUUAGAGGGCCUCCACUACCCUUCAUUCAAUUUCAACAAUUUUUUUUUCCCUUCUCUUUCGUCCUUCUUAUUUAUUAUCUAGUGGUUAUAUGAAGGUGGACUUGCCUGUGUUCGAACACGUGUUCCUAUGGUGUUCAGCCAAGGCCCCCAAAUAACUCAUACAUGUUCCGUACGAUACUGCUGUUGAAGCUGCUGCUGUAUAGAAGCAGCUACAGCAUGAUCUUAUUGUAGAGAUGACAGCACAGAGAGAGAAUGCACUGAGAAUCAGCAGACAAAGCAGAUCAAAGAAUACACAGAUAGUAUAUACAGAGAAGCAGAAUGAAUGAAUGAUAAUAUAUAGAUUUAUUUUGUUUCUAUUUCUUCUUUAUUUCUGUGUAUGAAGAGAGAUAGAAUUUGAUAGACUAACUUCUCACUGCUGCUUGAUCUCCACUAUUCAUACAAUAGAAAUGAUGUAAUGAAAAGAAGUUUUCAGAUGAUCAGAUUGUCUCUGAGCAGAAAACAAUCUGAUUCUUUAG